CAAGAAACCCGUAAGUUGGAAAGAGAAUGGCGCCGCUCCGGUUCAGAGCAGUCUCUGGAUAUCUGGAAACAUAGCCUAUUAAAUUAUAAAAAAGCUCUGUGUAGCCCAGGUGGUUUUACCUACUUUGUUUUGCCUUAACCGUCUGUUAGUUUCCUUUCUGCGCAUUUCUCGUCACCUUCUGUUUCCCCUUCGACGUCACUCCCUCACGUGGGCUAGUUGGCCAAUCACGGCCAAGCUUCUCGUGUCAUCAGGACAUCACGUGAUACGGCGCGACCAGUCGCGUACGCUUAUUAGGGUGCAGGGAAUCAAUGGUUUAAGACGCGGCGGGGAAGCUACAUGAGCGGAGCCCUCUAUCCGGUCCACAGUUCCACCAUACAUAAAAGCGUUGGUAAUAUGUGGUUGGCGGAAUCUGGUGAGUUGUCUAUUUGUUUGCUAACGUAGCUUUAGCUGCUACUGUGUAUCAGAUGUGGUUAACGUUAAAUGUUACCUAUCAUAUCCAAGCAUAAUGACUCAUAGUAUGACCCGAAUAUUGUACAUUCAGUAUGGGUAUAUGUUAUGUUAAUAUGUUUAAUGUUUUGUCUUUGUCUUUACAUGAAUGUAGCACAGCUAGUGCUGUGUUUAUGAUUUUUGUGUGCACACUAUAUGUUAUGAUGUUUUAUAUUGUUUUUGACGUGUUAACACGCGAUUUCCUGUGGCUUUGGUCCUGUUAUCCAGGCCGGGUCCAGGUGGCGAGCUAGACCUUGGAAUCUGAACACUAAGAAGAGCCGCGUCCUCCCUCCGGGCCGGUAGAGGGUUUUUGUUUCUUCUUGUCUUUCCCUCAUAAGUCAAAGCACAGUUUUCUGCUGUUUCCCUGAACGGUUCGACAGACCUUCAUUUGACUCUCCCCACCGCAACGGCUUCCUUGAGCCGCUAUGGAUAUCCUCUGAACGGUGGGCGAGUCUUCUUUGAACAUUUUCUCCCUGUGUGGUGCAGUUAAAGAGAAACUGGACUCUUCCCCUCUGACAAAGGCUAUCUUAACAAGAGUAUAGUAAUGCUGAUGUGUUUACUUCUUGAAGUGCUUUUGUAUAUAUAUGUUUGAAUGGCCAUUCUAUGUUUCACUAUUUAUCACUGUAAAUCAUCUGUACAAGUCAUUAAAGGUGCUACUAAUCCAUGAACAA
Molecule: non-coding RNA, 1157 nt
Organism: Oryzias latipes (Japanese medaka)
Lineage: Eukaryota; Metazoa; Chordata; Actinopteri; Beloniformes; Adrianichthyidae
Source: RefSeq, a predicted model, not a curated record